RNAcentral lists this ribosomal RNA (253 nucleotides) under uncultured prokaryote. RNAcentral's name for it is "partial 16S ribosomal RNA". It matches the Rfam family "Bacterial small subunit ribosomal RNA", at positions 525 to 777 of the family's 1533-position model. The record is from RNAcentral.
ACAGAGGGCGCAAGCGUUAUUCGGAUUCACUGGGCAUAAAGAGCACGUAGGCGGCUACGUAAGUCGGAUGUGAAAUCCCGCGGCUCAACCGCGGAAUGGCAUCCGAUACUGCGUGGCUCGAGGUCGGAAGGGGUAAGCGGAACUCCAGGUGGAACGGUGAAAUGUGUAGAUAUCUGGAGGAACACCGGUGGCGAAGGCGGCUUACUGGUCCGAAUCUGACGCUGAGGUGCGAAAGCUAGGGGAGCGAACGGGA